CCAUAAUGGAGGGCAUAAUUUGGGGGGGGCAUUAAUGACUGAAAGGCCUUUAUACAGUAGUUUGAAGCUAUUAAAAGAUUCCAUAUAAGUUCAGAGCAUAACACAUAUUUACCACUAUUCACAAACAGACGUAGUGAUGUAAGCCUGAAAAGUAAAAUUCACCUCGUGCUGUGGAGAUGUUAGGUUCCUUGCUUUAGGAAUCAGUCAUUACAUAUUUGUUCUAGGAGCUAAAGACGGCGGUGUGUUCUUACAGUUUGGUUGUUUUUGCAAACUGCUGCCUGAAUUUUGGUCUAAUGAAACUUACAGAUUUUCUGGAUCACGUUGUUUUACAGAGGUGUGAUUGCAUCAGCUCUCUUCCUGUAUUCAGUUCUUGGUCUGAUUGCAUUUUCGUUAAGAAAAAGGCAGAAGAAAAUUCUUACUGAACAUACAGAAAGGGCUUUUCAUCUGGAAUGUAAAUUUUUUUUAUCUUUUAAAAUACUUUUUAAAAUGUGAUAUAAUAUACAUACAGUUAUAAUACAGGUUUUCAUAUGGAACUCAAUUCUACUUCAUCUAAUAUGGAAUCCCCCCGUGUUCCAUUAAAUAGAGAAUAGUUUGUGUGUAGAAUUUUUCUAGAGGAGAUAUUCCACAACUUUCAAUCUAUGUUCAUAGCGGUGACCCUCGGGGAAUGGCUGUCGCCACAGCAGUGGCAGAUAGUAAAUCAAUGACCUGGUAUUGGUGGUGCUGCAGUAGUCACAGUUUAUUGCUCAUUGUAGACUCUGUCAUCUGAAAGAUUUUCCUGGUACUUUUUAAUAUGUAUUGAUAGCUGAAGUGAGGAGCUUGGGUAACCUGGGACCAGGCACAGUUGACACGGGUAGAGCGGCAUUCUCUGUUCUCGGUAUAAAGAAGCUGGGCGGGUCCCGGUGCUCAGAUUGGGUCUGGACUGAACUUUUGGGAAGGUGUUAAUUUGCUCUCUUAAAAGAGAUCCAGAGGUACAGAAAAUCACACUUGUAGUUCUGUAACUUACAGGGAAAAUGAAUGAAUUAAGUGGUUUUUAAAAAAUAACGUUAAUUAUGGUUAAAGAUACAGAUUUACAAGUGAAUAGUUUGGAAAAUAUGUUAAGAAUGGCAUAAGCAAGAUGUAUUGACUUGGAAAGGUAAAUCCAGUGGAUCUCAAAAAUGUUAAUUCUGUUAUCUGCCUCAGUUUUUUUCACUGAGGGUAUAUCUUUGUCACAAAUAGCUCCUCCUCCUUCUCUCACGAAAAUAAAUGAUCAUGUAUUUGGGAUUAACGUAGCUACUAUUACUGAAUCUUCCAUCAAAUCUAAUAAAGUUCUUUAAAAUUAUAAUUCCCAGUUAAUUUAUGUUUGAAUAGUUUUUAUAGGAUAGAAAGCUGCAUAUAAUUUAUUUUCUCUCUAUUUCUUCCAAGAAGCAGAUUAACAACUCAUUUUUUUUUUUUUUUUUCCCGUAUUUAGUGAUGUGAUCUGUAGGGUAGCCACUUCUGUUAGCUUUUCAAUGGCAAAUGUAUGUCCAGUAGUUUCAGGAGUAACCUGUCAAAGUCUAAUUCCAAACAUUGCUGGAGUCAGUUUAAAAGUGUAAUAAAUUUUGGUUUUCCUUUGUUCAUUUAUUAUCAUAAAUAUACCGUCUCCCCACAUGGAUAUUAAAUAAUGGAAAUAAAACCAUGUCUCAAAUUCCCAUUCUUUAAAAAGAAUCUUUUCAGGAUUUAAAUAAACACUGGAAAGUGGCAUUGGUUAAUAAAUCAGAAUGUGAUUGAAAUGACAAGACUGUGAGUCAUUUGACUUUAAAAAUUUCAAUAUUUGUAUUAAAAGAAUCAUUGUCUUUUUCAGAUAAAUUUGCGCCUCAUCUUGGUAAGCGGGAAGACAAAAGAGUUCCUGUUUUCUCCCAAUGAUUCUGCUUCUGACAUCGCAAAGCAUGUGUAUGACAACUGGCCGAUGGACUGGGAAGAAGAGCAGGUCAGCAGCCCAAAUAUUCUGCGCCUUAUUUAUCAAGGACGAUUUCUACAUGGAAAUGUCACAUUAGGAGUGUAUUCAUUUGUUUAAAUGCUAAUAUCUGAUUCUACUAAAAAACUUUUUUCGAACUGUGAAUUUUGUCCAAUUUUUGAUAUGUUUCCUUUUUUUACAUUUUGUGUUGUUUAGUUUUAGCACUCUGGUACGUGUUCACUACCUUGUAAAAUAAACUCUAAGCCUGUAUAGACGGAGGUCCAUACCUGUUAUUUUAUAAAUGUACUCUUAAUUGUACUUCUGGAUAAUAUAAUUCAGAUGUGAUUUUUUAAAGUUAAAAUCAGACAUACAAACAAGGAAAUGUUUAUGAUAUGGAUUUGCAAAUACAACAAUGAAGGGAUGUUUUCAGUUUAGCUCUCACUGAUACCGUUGCCGGUCAUGCAGGAAUUGAGUAACAUUAGAGAAACAGUGUAAUGUAGUGACUGAAAGAGCAGGGUUUAGAGCCAGAUUGUCCAACUUGUGUCUUAGCUCCCUCCACUGCUCUACUGUCUCUAACCUUGAGCAAGUUAUGUCACUGCUUUGCGUCCUAGUUUCCUCAUCGGUAAAUUGAGAUAAAAAUAGUACCUACCUCAGAGGUUGGGAGGGUUAAAUUGGUUUAUAUUCAAAGCACCUAGAACAGUGCUUGGCACACAUUAAACCCUUUAAAUGUUACCCAUUCCUGCUCUUAAUAUGUGAACGGAGAGAGGUAGCUCAAUAGUGCCCCCUCAUGGGGGUACAUUUUCUACCAUCAGCAUGUAUUGUAUUUGAAAUCUGUAGGCAGAUGAUCUACUUUAAUAUAUUUUUGUUUAUAUAUAGUCAUGAUAUGUUCCCUCUACACCUAAAAAUUGGAUUUUUUAACCUGUUUUUCCUUAAAGGUAGAAUAUUUUCAUUCAUUCAGCAUGUAUUUAUUUCUUAUGUGCCAACGCUAUGCUAAACAUUUGGAGAUACAGGGUUGAACAAGAUAGGAUCUCUUCCUUCGCAGUGCUCCAAUAUUAAUUACAUAGUGGACACAGAUAAAAUUCAUUGUUAAAAUACAGUGUGGGAGAGGCUGGAGGAGGUGGAUGCAAAUGAUGACGAUGAUGACAGUAUCGAGGAGAUUGAACAUUUCAGUGCAUAGUUGCACACAGAGCCCGAUUCUGGUGGCACUGGUAAUGCUGACCUGAAAGGUAAUGCUGCGCAUUAAGGGGUGCCUGCCAUUUAAAAUACGGCUUCUUGGUUUGUUUGAGGUGUUUUGGUUUUUGUUUGUUUGUUUUUGACGGUCUGAGCCCCACAUAAGCUCUUGUUAUAUUGAUUGGUAAGUGUUGAUUGAAUUUAAUCUGUUGACUACAUAAAUGAGUCUCGAGACCCCAUUUCACUUUGGGUGUUGAUCUAUGCGAGCAGUCUCUCACCAGCUUAAUUUUUUCACUACCUUUCUGUUACGACUCCAAAGCUCCAACCUCAUAAUAAAUAUUGUAGAAUUUGUGGUAAAAUUAACCUAUUGAUUGUUUUGGAGUUUGUUUUUGAAUAAUUAACAGAUUGACUUAUGUUAUUAUUGUCAUUCUUUGUUGCCGUUAAUCUUUUUCAAAAGCCAAACAAACCAUCUCUGGCCUUGGUGAUUUGGACAAGUAGCAUAGGAGUAAGAUCCUAGACCUUUCAAGUUGAUCAGUGUACCUGGGUAAUAACAUUCGACUGUUUGUGGGGUGUUGAUCGCUGUUUUUCUCUUGUCUCCCGGAAUUCUGGAACGUGGGUGAAAAGGAGACACUGCAUAGAGUCGUGUGGCUGAAUGGCUAGUGUGGAGAAACCUGGGCUUGCUUCACAUGGCUUGAGACUUGCUCUGUAUGUAUAACUCUGUAGGCAAAGGAUACUUAUUUUUACAUGCAGAUUUCUGGGAGUUCCCACUAUGGUGCAGUGGGUUAAUGAUCCAGCUUGCUCUGUGGAGGCAUGGGUUCAGUCCCCAGCCUGGCACAAUGGGUUAAGGGUAUGGCAUUGCUGCAGCUGUGGCAUGGGUCUCAGCUCCGUCUUGAAUUUGAUCCCUGGCCUGGGAACUUAUAUGUCGUAAGGGUGGCCAAAAAAGGGGGAAAAAAAGAAAAAAAAAUACAGGUUUCCACAUGCACGCUCCCUGCCUCCCCCAUCCCAGUCUGCUACCGUUGUGAAACCCAGUGAUGGACGAGGGAAGACCUCUCUCCUGGACACUGUGCAGUGUGGCAGUAGAAGGCAGAAGCACCACCCUGAGGGAGAGAGAAAGCUGCUUGGAUCUGAUACCCUCUUCCUUUACCUUCUCUGAUACUGGGAGCAUAAUACCUGCUAUUUCUAGUUAAAACUCAGCUAGAGGAGAAGGAUCAUAGUCCCCAUCAUUCAGAUUUGUAGCUUCAAAUGGGCAGCCCCUCAGCAGCUUUUAGGCCUGUCCAGCGUGGCUGCCAGUGUACCCCUCGGUUCACGGUUCACUUACCUGUGCUCCGAGAGGCCUCUUCCUUGCUGCCCGGAGUGAUGAUGACGAUGACGGUAAGGUUUACAGGCUGCUUUUCUGUGCCGAGCCCUGAGGUAAGCACUUUCCUGGGAUUGUUUGUUUUAAUCAUUGCAAAGGCCCCGCUGGUGGAAUUACUAUCUCCAGUUUAGGUGGCGGAAACUGAGGCAUUGGGAGGGGUUAAAAACUCUCAUAGCAAAUCUCACAGUCAGUAAAUAGCAGGGCUCUGGCUUAGCAGAGGCAGUGUGGUACGUGGCCAUUUUUAACGCAGUCAGGCUUUCCCAGUGCACUUAGUGAACUUUCCAAUAGGUCUUGUUUGCAUUUCAGUGUUAAAUGAGGCCUAGGAGAUUAUCCAAUAAAGGCCCUCUCCUUUUCUAGUGGGUGUUUUGAAUGCUUUAUUUGAAUUUUGGAAGUUAAGAGGAUAAACCAAAUAAUGGCUAGAUAGCUUUAUAAUGGAAACUCACCUUGAUUACAUGAAAUAUUAGUGAUAUUGAAGGUAAUUAGGGUGCUUUUUAACCCUCACCCUAUUCUAGAGAAGGUUUUAAAAGCGUGUGGCAGGAGGGCCACACUUCCCAAGUCAUGAUCUAAGCCUGUCUGAAGUUCGUAGUCAGUGAGGGGGUAGUUUGAGCUGUCAGAACUAAAACAUCACAACUCUGGGGCAUUUGGUGUACUGGCUGCUUCUGACUUUCUACGCAGAAUGACAGAAACGUGGGCUUACAUGGUUCAUGGGUAUAUGGGUGUCUUACAUAACUCUGUGUCCAGAAUAUUUCAUAGUAAUAUUCUGUGUUGCUUAUAAAUGAGAAAAACCUUUUAAAGUCCUGAUUAGAAAACAGUGACUGCUAAUAAUGCCAAGACAGUUACUCUUUUAGGGUAAUACUUUUUAAGAAAAUUAUUUCCUAAUUGAAGAAUAUAAGGUUGAGGGUUUAAAAUUAAGUUCAUCAUUUCUUCUGUUUCUGCAUUAUAGUGGCCUGUUCGGCGCAGGAAUUUUUAGAUGACUAGAUAUAAUUAGAUUUCGAAACAAAUGUCUCUUAUCUACACUCCCUAAUUUAGAAAAAUCAAUCUUUAAAAGAUUUUUUAAAAAUUCUUUCUCUCCUUUAAAGAUUAUCUAGUUUUAACCAAUUAAGUAUUUUAUUAUCUCCUUCCUUAAACAGUGUGUAUAUAUGGAUCGAGCUAAUAGCCAUAGCUAACUAACUUUUGAAUUAUAAAAAUUAUUUCUGCGAGUUCCCUUCAUGGCUCAGUGGUUAAUGAAUCCAGCUAGGAACCAUGAGGUUGCAGGUUCGAUCCCUGGCCUUGCUCAGUGGGUUAAGGAUCUCGCGUGGCCGUAAGCUGUGGUGUAGGUCACAGACGCUGCUUGGAUCCCACGUGGCUGUGGCUGUGGCUUAGGCCAGCGACUACAGCUCUGAUUGGA
RNAcentral lists this long non-coding RNA (5823 nucleotides) under Sus scrofa (pig). RNAcentral describes it as "lncRNA (ENSSSCG00055002438.1)". The record is from RNAcentral. Lineage: Eukaryota; Metazoa; Chordata; Mammalia; Artiodactyla; Suidae.